CGAUGAAGACAACAUAUUCCUCCCACAUACCUUGUGAACAAAGUUCUCAUAUGUGAUAUUAUGGUUUUCUAAUUGUUUCUUUAUGAAGGCAACAUAUUCCUCACACAUACCUUGUGAACAAAGUUCUCAGAUGUAAUUUGCAUACUAAGUGUUUGAUACAAAGACCCAAUGAUUACUCAAUUUCAUCAUCACUUUAUUUUUGCGUUUGCUGACAGUUACCUAAUGAGGAUACAUAUCCCUCAUGCAAACAUAAGGAAUCCCAUAAAUUCCCUUCUUGGAUGACAUGUUGGUUGGUGUAGGAUGGACUGUGCAGGAUUAGUUGAAAUAAGGGAGAAUGAUUGCUAUCACCGCUUUAAAAUGGGCAUAGGCUUUUUCUGCAUGACAUAAGAGAAGUAGUUGUUUGCGUUGAUGUCCAAUGGAUGAAGGCGGCAAUACUAUUGGUUAAUUGGGCCGCCUCAGUCCUAUGGAGCUCAUAGACUAUCAUAGUAAUGGUUUCAGAAAGAGGGCAAUGCUUGAAAGGCUUGGUAAAGACAUACAAAAGGAGCAGCUCAAAAUCACCCUAUGGAAUGGUAGAUAUCAAAAUUGGCAUGGGAGUAAGAGAUGUCAAAGCUACGUCAGCUUUGGCAUGAGUGAAGGCAGAUGGGUUGGAUUGAAAGUUGAUGCCCAAAAUGAUCGUUAACUUGUCCAUCUCAGCUUUGACAUCUCCCAUUGGAGAUGCUCUAAGGUAUCUUUAAUACUUUGAUUGUUAAUUUUAUAUUGCCCACAUUCAUAAGUGAUAAGAGUGUUUCCCUGUGCUGCCAUAAUCCCACAAUUUAGAGUGACUUUCUUUAGAAAGAAUUGCUUAUCAUUUAAAAUGAUAUGAGCUCGAAUAUGGUUAUUGAAAAUGAAUACAUUAUAUGUGACAUUUGAGUCUGUUGUAAAUACAUUUGGUUGGAGAUUGAUAAUCCCACCAUCUAGAGAUUGAUACGCUUCUCAAAGUCAAGAGGGGAGACAGAGGAAAAGUUCAAAGUUCAG
Molecule: long non-coding RNA, 1014 nt
Organism: Rhododendron vialii
Lineage: Eukaryota; Viridiplantae; Streptophyta; Magnoliopsida; Ericales; Ericaceae
Exons: 3
Source: RefSeq, a predicted model, not a curated record